RNAcentral lists this ribosomal RNA (418 nucleotides) under Clostridium butyricum. Its description in RNAcentral is "bacterial SSU rRNA". It matches the Rfam family "Bacterial small subunit ribosomal RNA", at positions 67 to 499 of the family's 1533-position model. Lineage: Bacteria; Bacillati; Bacillota; Clostridia; Eubacteriales; Clostridiaceae. The record is from RNAcentral.
CGUCGGCGUGAAGCUCUUCGGGAGUGGAUAGCGGCGGACGGGUGAGUAACACGUGGGUAACCUGCCUCAUAGAGGGGAAUAGCCUUUCGAAAGGAAGAUUAAUACCGCAUAAGAUUGUAGUACCGCAUGGUACAGCAAUUAAAGGAGUAAUCCGCUAUGAGAUGGACCCGCGUCGCAUUAGCUAGUUGGUGAGGUAACGGCUCACCAAGGCGACGAUGCGUAGCCGACCUGAGAGGGUGAUCGGCCACAUUGGGACUGAGACACGGCCCAGACUCCUACGGGAGGCAGCAGUGGGGAAUAUUGCACAAUGGGGGAAACCCUGAUGCAGCAACGCCGCGUGAGUGAUGACGGCCUUCGGGUUGUAAAACUCUGUCUUUGGGGACGAUAAUGACGGUACCCAAGGAGGAAGCCACGGCUA